RNAcentral lists this ribosomal RNA (736 nucleotides) under uncultured Candidatus Poseidoniales archaeon. RNAcentral's name for it is "bacterial SSU rRNA". It matches the Rfam family "Archaeal small subunit ribosomal RNA", at positions 186 to 923 of the family's 1478-position model. The record is from RNAcentral. Lineage: Archaea; Methanobacteriati; Thermoplasmatota; Candidatus Poseidoniia; Candidatus Poseidoniales.
GAUGAAAGCUCCGGCGGCAUAGGAUGGGCCUGCGGCGUAUCAGGUUGUAGGGGGUGUAAUGUACCCUCUAGCCCUCUACGCGUACGGGUGUUGGGAGACAUAGCCCGGAGAUGGAUUCUGAGACACGAAUCCAGACCCUACGGGGUGCAGCAGGCGCGAAAACUUGGCAAUGCGAGAAAUCGUGACCAGGGAACUCCAAGUGCAUCGGGUAAGACCGGUGCUUUUCUUGACUCUAAAUAGGUCUUGGAAUAAGGGGUGGGUAAGGACGGUGCCAGCCGCCGCGGUAAUACCGGCGCCUCAAGUGGUAGUCGCUUUUAUUGGGCCUAAAACGUCCGUAGCCGGUCUGAUACAUUCGUGGGUAAAUCAACCAGCUCAACUGGUUGAAUUCUGCGAGGACGGUCAGACUUGGGACCGGGAGAGGUGUGGGGUACGCUCAGGGUAGGGGUAAAAUCCUGUCAUCCUGAGCGGACCACCUGUUGCGAAGGCGCCACACUAGAACGGAUCCGACGGUCAGGGACGAAGCCUAGGGGCACGAACCGGAUUAGAUACCCGGGUAGUCCUAGGUGUAAACGCUGUGGACUUGAUGUUGGGGGUGCUCCGAGCACUCUCAGUGUCGAAGCGAAGGUGAUAAGUCCACUGCCUGGGAAGUACGGUCGCAAGGCUGAAACUUAAAGGAAUUGGCGGGGGAGCACCGCAACCUGAGGAUUGUGCGGUUUAAUUGGACUCAACGCCGGAA